UGGUCCUUAAAUGGAGUUUAUGGCCUCCU
Molecule: non-coding RNA, 29 nt
Filed under: Rattus norvegicus (Norway rat)
Lineage: Eukaryota; Metazoa; Chordata; Mammalia; Rodentia; Muridae
Source: RNAcentral